CUCUUUCCAUGUCUUUCUCCCUUCUGCGUGUGAGGACUCUGUGACAGCUUUUCCUGCUGCUUGUAGCGAACGGCUGAAAGGGAGUGAACACGCGGCUGCUUGUAAUACAGAGUCAAACUGAGGCAAACGCAUACACUGCUGAACGGUCAUUGGACAGGACUGUGAAGACUCUUCUUGGUUUUGGCUGUGUAGCAUACUCAUGCAGACAGUCCUGGAUUAAAGAAGUCUGAUGCUGUAGGAGAACAGCUUUGAGAUUUAUAUGUGUGUAUAGACGAAGACCCAAGAUAUUCUGAGGACACAAGGCCAUAACCAGAGUGAGAAGCUUGACCCAU
Sinocyclocheilus rhinocerous is the source of this 332-nucleotide long non-coding RNA. RefSeq lists it as uncharacterized. NCBI's taxonomy places the organism in Eukaryota, Metazoa, Chordata, Actinopteri, Cypriniformes, Cyprinidae. The transcript has 2 exons. The record is from RefSeq and is a predicted model, not a curated record.